RNAcentral lists this ribosomal RNA (927 nucleotides) under Ahnfeltiopsis vermicularis. Its description in RNAcentral is "LSU rRNA". It matches the Rfam family "Eukaryotic large subunit ribosomal RNA", at positions 485 to 1499 of the family's 3401-position model. The record is from RNAcentral. Lineage: Eukaryota; Rhodophyta; Florideophyceae; Gigartinales; Phyllophoraceae.
CAGGUGCUUAUCCGCUGUGAGUUUUCGGGGGUCGAUUUUGGACCCCUGGGGACUGAGGGCUCCCCUUUUGGGUGAGGACAGCGGAGUGACGACGCGAUACGACCCGUCUUGAAACACGGACCAAGGAGUCUAGCGCGGGUGCGAGUCGGAGGGUGCAAGCCCGUGGGCGAAGUGAAAGCGAGUGUAAAAACGAGCAGUUUGGGGCGGCAUAAGAUCGUUGAUCUUAAGACCGACCCAGAGCAGUUGCGCUGGGACCCGAAAGAUGGUGAACUAUGCCGGAGUAGGGCAAAGCCAGAGGAAACUCUGGUGGAGGCUCGUAGCGGUGCUGACGUGCAAAUCGCUCGUCGAACUUGGGUAUAGGGGCGAAAGACUAAUCGAACCAUCUAGUAGCUGGUUCCCUCCGAAGUUUCUCUCAGGAUAGCGGGCCGACAAGUUGUUUUGUGCGGUAAAGCGAAUGAUUAGCGCACUCAGGGGCGUUUAGCCUUUGGGCGAUUCUCAAACUUUCAAUGCGCAAGGGUGCCGCUGCUUAAUUGAGCGGUACCGGUAAAAACGUCGGCCCUGUGGGCCACUUUUGGUAAGCAGAACUGGCGAUACGGGAUGAACCGUAAGCAAGGUUAAGGCGCCAAACUGCCCGCUUAUAGACCCCACAAAAGGUGUUGAUUCAUCGAGACAGCAGGACGGUGGCCAUGGAAGUCGGAAUCCGCUAAGGAGUGUGUAACAACUCACCUGCCGAAUGAAUUAGCCCUGAAAAUGGAUGGCGCUGAAGCGGGCGGCCGACACCUUGCCGUCUGGACAAGAAUUUCAGAUGAGUAGGAGGGCGUGGCGGCCGUGUCGAAGCGCGCGUGCAGACGCAUGUGGAACGGCCGCUAGUGCAGAUCUUGGUGGUAGUAGCAAGUAUUCAAGCGAGAUCCUUGAAGGGCGAAGUGG